Molecule: long non-coding RNA, 1212 nt
Filed under: Oryza sativa (Asian cultivated rice)
Lineage: Eukaryota; Viridiplantae; Streptophyta; Magnoliopsida; Poales; Poaceae
Description: long non-coding RNA (OSAT_LNC000032)
Source: RNAcentral
GCCGCCCGCCUCACCCGGCACGCCGCCGCGCCGCCCGCCUCACCCGCGCCAUACCUCCACCGCUCCCCUCACCAGCCACGCCACCGCGCCGCCCGCUUCACCCGCUGCCCGCCGUGCCAUACCUGCGCGACCGCCCGCCUCACCCGGCAAGACGCCACGCCGCCCGCCUCACCCUGGGCCUUCCCCGCGCCGUACCUCUGCCGCCCGCCCCCCUCCCGCCCUCCCUGCGCCGUAUGUCCGCCGCCGGCCUCGCCAGCCACGUCACUGUGCCGCCCGUCUCACCUGCUGCAGUACCCUCCCCCCUCUCCCUCGCGUCGCCCGCCUCCCUUCGCCGCACUCCCCUCUCUCCUCUCCCUCGCAUCGCCUGCCUCCCCUCACCGCUGCCUUAGGAUCUUCUCCGCACCGCCACCGUUCAGUCGUCGUCGCCGUGUCUCCUUCGUCGCGCACAGCCGUCAUGGUCUCAGGUCGCUUGCACCUUCUCCCAUGCUGACUAACGGCGUCACCGCCGCCGCCGCCAUCAUCACCAGCACCGACCUCUCCUCUCAGGUGCGAUUCUCUCUCUGUUAAUUUGUCUGUUAAUUUGCAUCCAUUCACUCUAACUUAAUUUGUUAACAUGGUCCACAUAAUCAUACUAUUAAUCUUUAAACGCCAGAUAGCCAAAAACAUCAUGUUGAGCUUUGAGUGGUCUCUCCGAGAAAUGGAGCCUGAAGAAGCAGUAGACAAUUGAUGUCGUUGCAAUUUCAUGCGCAAUCUCCAAAUGAGAGGUACACUGUACAAGUCUUGAAAAAAGUUGUGUAACUGAUCUGAAUUGAAAUGUAAAAACAAAAAUUAACCAGUUAAGUUUUGAGUGGUCUCUCCAUGCCUCUUGUCACAGGGUUUAUGGGGAUGUUUAUUUUCUUGUCUCAGUGAACUUACACUGUUUAUGUUUGAUUGACAAUAUAUAAAAUAUUGCCAUAACUUAUACGCAUGCAUCUAGCUAGCCAAUAAGAGUAAAGAGAUCUCGCCAUUUUGCAGGAAUCUUUUCUUCUUAACAUCUAUCGCUUUUCCAGCCAUUUUUCAGAGUUUAGAGUUUUAGUUUCAGAGUUGUUUUAGGUUGUUUCGUGUGUGCUUCUGCAGGCAGCCAUGCAGAGCUAGGAUCCUGGAAUGUGUUGGCCACUAACUCAUGGGAGCCUGUCGAUUAAUUGAGUCGAUAACACUAGAAUAAUAAUCUUA